GGGAGAUGGAGUCCGGGAGCCGGGGCGCCGCGGGGCUUUCUGGGAACUGUAGUUCUCAGCCGUGCUCUCAGCGGGCCGGGAGGGUGCGCGUCGCUCGGAGAGGCCACCUCCCCUGUGCCGGAGGGACGCGCGACUGCGCGCGUUGUGCCAGCCCGCGAAGGAGGCCAAGGCCGUGUAGAGCCGGGUGCCGCCCCGGGAGGCAAGUUCCUGUGUGAGGCUGAAAUCGGGCCCGUCUGCCAGCCCAGCGUCUGCGCAGCUGCGGCCCGGGCGGGACCGGGAGGCCGAGCGGCCGCGUGCCCGCCGCUCUGGAACCGCGAACCUGGCCUACAGCGUUCCAGCCUGAGGUUUUGGAAGAAGACCCGCGCGAAGGAGUAUAUCCUGAAGCCGCUGAGGUCGAAGCCACCUGUGGUUGCUUUACCAGGGAAAUUUAGGAUUAAGGGACGCACGGUAGCACAGAAGAAUGGGCUCCCCGGCCCCAGGCUUCGCAGACUCAAGCGCUGGCUCUGUGGCCUGCUGGAACUACUAUGCCUGCCUCACCUUGCUCAUGUUCAAAAUAUGCGUAACGUCGCGGACGUCUUCGUUAGGGUUCCACCGACUGAGUACAUUCCUGUACAGCUUGACAGCAGUGGCUCCCAGAUAAGCACUCGGCAUUAGUCUUCAUUCACUCCAGUGUUAGGAGUUAUUAAAUAAGAUCUGAGCAUUUUGCUCUUUGCGCUUCUAUGUGUUUUAAAUUUCUUAGUAGUUUUGUGCAGUAAGUGGAAAUGAGGAAACACUCAGGCUAAAUGACUGCCCUGUGUUCGGGGAACAAGUAGCGCCCUUGGGGCUACAAGUCUCGUCUAAUGGAUCAUUCUUCCGACCACCACACCAUGACUUCCUUGCUCACAUUCUUCUAGCUUGGAUCUAUGAAGCUACAAAGCUGCAGUGAUUCUGUACACACCUCGGAGUCAAGUAAUGGGUUGGGCAUUCAGGCAGUCCUCAAUUUAUAAACAGAAACUGACCUUUGCAUGGGCUGCACAGAAAUUUCUCAGUCCUAAGAUGAUCUCUGCAUGUUUCAAAACGUCUUAGGACAAAGUUCAUUAGGAUUUAUGCUCAUGUCUACAGUAGGGAAUUAUGGACAGACCUCUCUAUGGAAAAGUAAACUGAGAGCAAAUCGAAUUGCUUGGUACCCUCUCCCUCCGCGCGGGAUGGAGCCUCACUCCAGAUCCUUGCUGAUUUUAGAAUGCACCCAUAGGAGCUGACUGCACUGAUAAGUGCAGGCUUCUCCCGUCCAGAACUCAGAAUCCGUAUUUCCCACACUGUUAACGAUGGUUUGUGAGUCAGACACGUUAGGGAUAUUAUUCAUUGCAUAAGCUUAUUUAAGUUUGACCUAGCACCCUAAAUGCCAAGCAUGAUUUCCUUGGAAAAUAGUUUCUAAGCUGCUGGUCUCAGGGAUUUAACUUGCAGGUAUGAGUGAAAUUCCUGUAGUUUUUCAUUUUGGUGUGCCAAUCACUAAGGCUCAGAGACAUUCGAUCAUUUAUUUAUUUGAUAGGUAUUUCUUGAACAUCUACUGUGUGCCAAGCACGGUUUUGUAGCUAUGGGUACAAAGGUAGACAAAAAAGAAAUUACCUGCCCUCAUGUUGGAUUUGGUUAAGAAGUUUGGUUAGGAAGACAGACUUUAAUCAAAUAAUCACAUAAGCUACAGAUUGUGAAGGAGCUGUGAGAGUAAAAUGCCCUGGCCUGGGAGUCCCAGAAAGCUCCCUUGAAGAAGUGCCACAUGAGCUGAGAGCUCGUGGGUGAGGAAGACUAAAGGUUGUAUUAACCAUAUUCUUCUUCUUCCUUGACGCUCUGAUAUUUGGAACCUCACAGACGCAAGGGGGAUUGUCCCUUCUCAGGAUUAGCAGAGUCCUAGAGAUAGCCAACAAUUUGCGGGGCCCCCAGCAUAGCUUUCAUAGGCAAACUAACCAAUCCAGAGCCCCAAACGCCCUUCCCCACCUCCCCUUUGGCUGCUACUCUCUGCUAUUUACCUUUCCUAAUCACCCCAGGUCCCUACACUCCCCCACUGAAAUAAUUCAAACUGGCCAAUUCUAAACCUGCCUACCCUCCUUCGUCUGUUCUUUUCCAUAUGGAAACCACAAUAAAGGCUUUUGCCCACAUUUUCCUCCCACCUCUUCAGCCUCCUGACCAACCUUGGUGCUUCCCCCGCAUGUGGCGCUGCCUGGCCGGGCACGGCAUACAUGCACCUCAGGAACAGUGAGUAACAAGCUCUCUUCUCAGUGGCAAUCAUCUCUUGAUGUCAUCAUACCUAAACAAUAAAUAAAACCUACAUUUUAAAACAGGCAAAGAAAACAGUGUAGGGUAUGGAGCAGGGAGCCGCUAACAUUCUCCCGCCAGCAGAGACCCGGGUGAGGUUGAGCUUCUGCUCCUGGACUUGUGCAGUGGGAACAAACUUCCUUCCCUUGUACUAGACCAUCUUUCCCUUACCUCAUCCCAUGUAAGGACAGAACUGGCCAAGACAGAGUUGGGGUGUCAAAGAGACAGAAGUCAAGGGCAAUGGCUAUACUUCAAGCCUGAGGGUUGUACCACUGAUAGAUAAGGGAAAUCAGGAGAUUAGGCUUUUUGAUGGGAAGAAUCUAGAUAUCACAUCAACGAGCAGAGAAAACGCUUUUAAGAACCUUUAGCGAAUCCUUAAGCAGAUACUUCAGAAAUCACAUCAGAUGACUCUAACCUUAGUAAAAUAAAGAGAGGGAAUGGAUAACUAGUUUUAAAUCAGAAAGUUUAGCUGUUUGGGUAUAGUCAUUAUAACUUCCGAAGAGAAGGAAGAAGGGACUUCAUUUGUACUGUUAAUGCUGAUUUCCUCAGCUAGGUGGUUACGUGUGUAUUCUUUAUGUUAACAUUUGUAAUAUUUUGAACGUCUUGAAUAUUUCCUAAUGAUUUAAAAAAGUGUAUUGGGAGAUUGUUGGGCAAGGAGGUAGUGUGAAUAAUUAUG
Zalophus californianus (California sea lion) is the source of this 2965-nucleotide long non-coding RNA. NCBI's taxonomy places the organism in Eukaryota, Metazoa, Chordata, Mammalia, Carnivora, Otariidae. The record is from Ensembl.